Molecule: ribosomal RNA, 253 nt
Filed under: uncultured bacterium
Lineage: Bacteria
Description: partial 16S ribosomal RNA
Rfam family: Bacterial small subunit ribosomal RNA
Source: RNAcentral
UACGUAGGGUGCGAGCGUUAAUCGGAAUUACUGGGCGUAAAGCGUGCGCAGGCGGCUUUGCAAGACAGAUGUGAAAUCCCCGGGCUCAACCUGGGAACUGCAUUUGUGACUGUGAGGCUGGAGUACGGCAGAGGGGGAUGGAAUUCCGCGUGUAGCAGUGAAAUGCGUAGAUAUGCGGAGGAACACCGAUGGCGAAGGCAAUCCCCUGGGCCUGUACUGACGCUCAUGCACGAAAGCGUGGGGAGCAAACAGG